RNAcentral lists this ribosomal RNA (271 nucleotides) under uncultured Syntrophaceae bacterium. RNAcentral's name for it is "partial 16S ribosomal RNA". It matches the Rfam family "Bacterial small subunit ribosomal RNA", at positions 1109 to 1374 of the family's 1533-position model. The record is from RNAcentral. Lineage: Bacteria; Pseudomonadati; Thermodesulfobacteriota; Syntrophia; Syntrophales; Syntrophaceae.
CUUUAGUUGCCAUCAUUUAGUUGGGCACUCUAAAGAGACUGCCGGUGUCAAACCGGAGGAAGGUGGGAUGACGUCAAGUCCUCAUGGCCUUUAUGCCCAGGGCUACACACGUGCUACAAUGGGCGGUACAAAGAGCAGCGAGCUCGCGAGAGUAAGCAAAUCUCAAAAAGCCGUCCUCAGUUCGGAUUGGAGUCUGCAACUCGACUCCAUGAAGUUGGAAUCGCUAGUAAUCGCGGAUCAGCAUGCCCGCGGUCGAAUACGUUCCGGCCUU